This 1416-nucleotide long non-coding RNA is filed under the name Homo sapiens (human). Its description in RNAcentral is "HSALNT0169901". The record is from RNAcentral. Lineage: Eukaryota; Metazoa; Chordata; Mammalia; Primates; Hominidae.
CCUGGGACUGUACCAUCAACACAGUUUUUGUUUGUUUGUUCUUCAGGUGACAUCGAGAGCUCCCCCUGGGAGGUGGGGUUGGGGAUGCUCCUUAGGAACCUCACUGGAAAGAUGAGUCAAGCAGGUAUCCAAGUCCAAUUACCCGGCUCAGGGCUUGACAUCACAGAUGUGGGACUUGCCUGAGAUGGGGCUGAUGAGCAGGAAGCUGAUUGGGGCCCUUGCAGGGCAACACACAACAAACCAAUCAAACCUCCUUCCUGAAAUCACUGUGCGCGCUGUGGGGGUGGCAGCGGGGGAGGGGGGGCGUGGCUUCCUGCCAAUACAUCAUGGGUAUUAUUUGUUCCCUCAUGAAGAGCAAUAGCAAUGAAAUCCACAUUUCCAAAUUAUGGAGUGCUGUGUGCCUACGUGGCACUCAAUGCCAGUAAUACCAGGAUGGGGGUUUGGUGACUGUGUCCUGGAGAUGCCUUGGGGGUCUGGGAGCACCUGGACAGCACAGAAAUCAGUUUCUCCAGCUGUAACCAGAGUGCCAGGAGAUUCCUGCAGUUCAUCUAGAGGACUUUUCCAGGAAACCCAGCAAACAGUAGGAUCUCAGCCACACGAAAUCAUUUAGUUAAGUAGCUACAGUUUACUUUAUGGAGUCGCCGUUUGCCAUGUUAAUUCUUGAUGACAGCCCAGGAUGUGGGCUGCAGACUGAACCCACUUCCUUCACCAGACUGACCACCGAGCACGGCUCUCCCUCCCUCCUCAGCCUCUCAAGAUGGUAGAUGCACCCACCUGCAAACUUUUCUCUCCGACAGAAAGGCCUCUUCUUCAGGACUAACUGACCUACCGCAGGCUACUGCCCCUGGAACUUGCCAGCAAAUUCACUCCCGGGAUCCAUGUCAAAUCAGGGUUGCCAGAGGAAAGUCAGGGCAUGUAUUUUCAUCUGCUGACUUGGGGCAGCCCUGGGUCAAAUCCCCAUCCCUCAACUCAGCACCUCUGUUGCAACAAAGCAGGCACAGCUGCGGUUGCAGGUAGUUCUCGAGAUACAGCAGGCCAUUCCUGCAGGACUAAAAGCAGCUGCGAUGACUUAUUGGCCAAGAGAGAAAAUGACCAUCCAGCCAAGUCCUUGUAGAAAUGAAAAUGGAACGUAAUGAACCAGUCUCUCUUACACUGGCCUGUCUGCCCCACCCACACUUAGUUUCUUUCCCCACUCUCCCUAUAAUAAAAAUACCAUGGGUUUUAAGACCAUUUCAUCACAUACUUUAUUGGACAUCUCCUGUGGCUGGUCACUGGGAUAGAGUAACCAGGAAAUGCAGUCGGCCCUCAUGAAUGAACAAAACUUACAACCCCAGGAGGGGAGCCAGAAACUCAAUUAGUGGCUUAGUUUCCACAACACUACGUGCUACAAAGAGGUACAGAGUUAGUGUAAGAAAG